GCGGGUGUGGCGGAAUUGGCAGACGCGCUAGACUUAGGAUCUAGUGCCCUCGGCGUGGGGGUUCGAGUCCCUCCACCCGCA
This is a non-coding RNA of Caloranaerobacter azorensis H53214, 81 nucleotides long. NCBI's taxonomy places the organism in Bacteria, Bacillati, Bacillota, Tissierellia, Tissierellales, Thermohalobacteraceae. The record is from Rfam.